RNAcentral lists this ribosomal RNA (253 nucleotides) under uncultured prokaryote. RNAcentral describes it as "partial 16S ribosomal RNA". It matches the Rfam family "Bacterial small subunit ribosomal RNA", at positions 524 to 776 of the family's 1533-position model. The record is from RNAcentral.
UACGUAGGAUGCAAGCGUUGUUCGGAAUUACUGGGCGUAAAGCGUGCGCAGGCGGUUCGUUAAGUCAGAUGUGAAAGCCCCGGGCUCAACCUGGGAACUGCAUUUGAAACUGGCGAGCUUGAGUGUGGCAGAGGGGGGUGGAAUUCCGCGUGUAGCAGUGAAAUGCGUAGAGAUGCGGAGGAACACCGAUGGCGAAGGCAGCCCCCUGGGCCAACACUGACGCUCAGGCACGAAAGCGUGGGGAGCAAACAGG